CGGACGGGUGAGUAACGCGUGGGUAACCCGCCUCACACAGGGGAGUAACAGUUAGAAAUGACUGCUAAUACCGCAUAACCCGAUAGGAUCGCAUGAUCCAGACGGAAAAGAUUUAUCGGUGUGAGAUGGACCCGCGUCUGAUUAGCUAGUUGGUGAGGUAACGGCCCACCAAGGCGACGAUCAGUAGCCGGCCUGAGAGGGUGAACGGCCACAUUGGGACUGAGACACGGCCCAA
Molecule: ribosomal RNA, 235 nt
Filed under: uncultured bacterium
Lineage: Bacteria
Description: partial 16S ribosomal RNA
Rfam family: Bacterial small subunit ribosomal RNA
Source: RNAcentral